UUGAACGCUGGCGGCAGGCCUAACACAUGCAAGUCGAGCGGUAGAGAGAAGCUUGCUUCUCUUGAGAGCGGCGGACGGGUGAGUAAUGCCUAGGAAUCUGCCUGGUAGUGGGGGAUAACGUUCGGAAACGGACGCUAAUACCGCAUACGUCCUACGGGAGAAAGCAGGGGACCUUCGGGCCUUGCGCUAUCAGAUGAGCCUAGGUCGGAUUAGCUAGUUGGUGAGGUAAUGGCUCACCAAGGCGACGAUCCGUAACUGGUCUGAGAGGAUGAUCAGUCACACUGGAACUGAGACACGGUCCAGACUCCUACGGGAGGCAGCAGUGGGGAAUAUUGGACAAUGGGCGAAAGCCUGAUCCAGCCAUGCCGCGUGUGUGAAGAAGGUCUUCGGAUUGUAAAGCACUUUAAGUUGGGAGGAAGGGCCAUUACCUAAUACGUGAUGGUUUUGACGUUACCGACAGAAUAAGCACCGGCUAACUCUGUGCCAGCMGCCGCGGUA
This 498-nucleotide ribosomal RNA is filed under the name Pseudomonas sp. Ep2. RNAcentral describes it as "bacterial SSU rRNA". It matches the Rfam family "Bacterial small subunit ribosomal RNA", at positions 30 to 522 of the family's 1533-position model. Lineage: Bacteria; Pseudomonadati; Pseudomonadota; Gammaproteobacteria; Pseudomonadales; Pseudomonadaceae. The record is from RNAcentral.